RNAcentral lists this ribosomal RNA (117 nucleotides) under bacterium. The record is from RNAcentral. RNAcentral also lists the same sequence under 1 other name.
UCCGGUGGCGAUAGCGGAGGGGAAACACCUCUUCCCAUUCCGAACAGAGUAGUUAAGCCCUCUUGCGCCGAUGGUACUGCUUGGGUGACCUUGUGGGAGAGUAGGACGCUGCCGGGG